GCGAAUGACUAUUCCCUCACUAAAACGACCAUGAAGACUCAUGUAAAAAUCCAAACGCGAAUGACUAUUCCCUCACUAAAAGCGCUUAUCUGAAAAGCUCAUCCACAGCGCGAUUUGGUUAUUCGCUUCAGCAUCACUUCUGCACUAUAGAUUAGCAUCGCGUGUUUGUCAUUGUUUCGUCUCCGACUCCUGCUUCUCCCCGUGUUUUAUGCUCAAGAACAACUCGAAGCGAACAACGGUUCCAAUCAUCAAUCCACGUUCCGAAAUCCGAAUCAAUGACUCAGUUCGAUUCACCAUUGUACGCGUGCACCAACAGAAAAAACAGAAUCGGAACCAAAGCGAUAAAUUCACCGGUAUUUGAAGCCUCAAUCGCAAACAGGUACUGAUCUCUGAUUCUGAUAUAUUUCUUCUUCUUCCUCGCUCACUCUACUUCUUCUUCUACAUAUGCGUGGUGUGGAGUGAUUCGUUCUGAGAUGAUGAAUAGUGAAUCGUGAAAUGGUGGAGUGGAUCUGAGAAUUUUGAAGAGUGAAUGUGAGCUUUCUGAAAACACAUUCAGGUGAUAUUUAAACCAUUUCUGAUUUAACAGAGUCGAACUCUGUUAAAUCUCAGAAGUUUCAAUUAGUUAACCGUUAACACUCUGUUAGAUCCAUGGUUAAAUAGUUAGUUAGAACUUGCAAAUUCAGUUGAGACCUUUUAUGUGUGUUGUGUUAGGUUAGUUACAGUGGAACUCUAAUUUGGUGUUCUGCUAGACGAAUUGGAAGGGUGAUAUUGCUUCUGUUUUUCUGUCAAAUUUUGUUAGCAAUUAGUUGGAUUUUGCAGGUAUAUGGUAGUGCAACAUACAAGGGUGCAAGAUUGAGUUGGAUCACCACCAUAAGCAAAAUUGUAGUUCUUGUGAUAUCUAAAGGUUGAUGUUCAGCAAUAGUAGGAUGUAUCAAUAUAUUAUGCAGUGUUAUGCAGGGUGCAUUGGGACAGGCUGGCACUGCCAUGAUGUAGGGUCCUCACUUCUGCACUUGGUCUGAAUGCAAUUAGGUAAGUUUCAUGGUUUUUCUUGCCUUGUUGCAGCUUCUUUUUAAUCGAUGGUAUGAUGAAUAAAAUGAGCCGAAUUAAUCAUGGCUUGGUUUUUGAUUAAUUAGCUUGGACUGAUAUUGCUCUGUUGUUUGAAAUGGUGUAGGUUAAAUUUAUUUGGAUUUUUUCUAUCAUGUACUCACUGAUGUGUUGGUAUUGUAGCUAAUCUUUUUGAAAAACUAUGUUAACUAAAACUGGAAAUUCCAAUUAGCCUGCUGCAGCCCAAAACUUUGCUAUGACCAAAAUGUUUGUUAGCUUAUGAGUGAGCUAAAUUGACUUUUUUUAAUGUCAUGAACAAUGUUGUCAAGAUCGCGAUUCAGAUCGUGGAAUCGCACGAUUUUGCGAUCUCAAUCAUCUCCACCGAUCUGGAUCGCAAGCAAGAUCGUUUUGUGCAGAAAUCACGGCGAAAUUAAUUGGUUUCGAAAUUUGAAGGUAGAAUCCCGUAAAUCUGGACUUAGUUAUCCGGGUCAAGUGCGACCCGAUUUACGAUCCGUGUGUUAUAAAUACGUAAAUACCUGUUUUUUUUCAAUAGCUUUGAAUCCUAAUGGUUAGUCUUAUGUAAAAUCGGCGACAUCUUUCUCAAAUUUUGCUGUUGGAGAAGAAGAUGUGAGCUGCUCUGUUUUCAUUUUCUUGUUUGUCUCUUAUUUUUCUGCAUUUCAUCUUCCACUCGAGUUAUUAUCUUUAUUUUAAUAUUGUUUAUUGUUUGGCUUGACAAUGUGUAAGGACUGAUAUGAUUUUAAUUAAUGUUGUCAUGAUCGAGAUCUUACAUAAGAUCGAGAUCUUACAUAAGAUCGAGAGGAGACAUUAAAAUUGUAAAAUAUAAAAUCGUAAUUAAAGUCGAAAGAUCUUACUCAAUUAAUUUUAUAAGAUCGAGAAGGAAUAACAAAAUCGUAAUCAAAAUAGUAAGAUUUUACUAAAAAAAUACUUAAAAUAUUUUAUAUUAUUUAUAUUAAAUAGUAUAUAAGUUUGCAUAUUAAAUAACAAACCAUCAAAUUGAAAAAUCUUAACCAUAAAAUUAAAAAUCUCAAAUCUUAACUUAAAAUAACAAACUCCAUAAAAUAAAAUACUCAAAAUCAUAGAGGUUAGUACAAAUCACAAAGGUGCCGAUAGUUUGGAUUUUUCCCUAUAAUGUUAACUCCUUCAUCUUCAUUAAUCUCAUCAUCUCCUCCACCAUAAUCAUCACCAUCAUCAUCUCCUUCAUCACCUUCAUCUACAUUUUCUUCUUCAUUGUCACUUUCUAUAGUUUCAAGGAUAUCAAAUUCAUCUACAUGUCUAGUUGAUUUAGCACCAGUACUUUGCAUCAAAUCUUCAUCUAAAUCAGUCACAUUUACAUGAUUACCACCUGUAUUUUCUUCCUCAGCAACAUACCACCAAUCGUCAUCAUCUUGGAAAUCAUCAAUUGUUAGAUCUCGCUUGUUCCUUUCAGCCUUAUUCUUGGUCAAUCUUGUAUUUACCAUCACAUACACAAGAUCAUUCAUAGUCUUUUGUUUCAACCGAUUUCUUUUCUUUGUAUGAACCUAAAAAGGGAAAAUAUUAAAUUAAAAUGCAUAACAUAUAGUAGCUAUGAAAAAUAUAUAUGAUACAUUAAAAAAAUAUACCAUUUCAAAAGCACUCCAAUUUCUCUCUCAGCCAGAAGAACUGCAUGUCUAACUCAAAACACGAAUAGCAAAGUUUUGCAACUCUGGGUGUGCAUCACCGUAAGAUUCCCACCAUUGAGUUGGUGUCUUGUUUUUUAGUCCACAUUGAGCUAUUUCACUCCCAAAGAAUCAUUUUUUACUCUUAAAAUCCUCAAGUUGACCAUCAAUUUUAUUCACCAUAUCCAUGUCUCCUACCAUCAUUCUUUCUAAACAUGCAUACAUUCCUUGUUUCACUUCAUUAUCUACUUUAAAAUUAGGUUUGUAAUGCAAAAUUGGAUUAAGAUAAUAGCCUGCAGCAUGCAAAGUCCUAUGCAAUUGUUUGUCCCAUCUGAUAUCUAUAAUUUUCCAUAAUGGUUGGUAGCUUAAGAAAGAAAAGAUUAAGUUAGUUCAUAAAUAAAUACUAAUAUACUUUUUAUAUCAAAUAAAUUAAUCUAUGAUAUUUUAUAAAAUUAUACCUUUUUCUAUUAUUAUUGUAGCUAGUUUGUAUUUCCUCUUUUGCUUGAUCCAUUGCUUCAUAGAUAUAGCCCAUGGCUGCCUUCUCAUCAGAAUCCACCAUACGCAAGACUUUAAGUAAUGGAAAAGCACCCUUGAGGCAAAUAAUCAAAUUCUUCUAAACGUCAUUGUUUGUGACUAUAUUUUCAACAAAUUUUCCAUCUUUUGUCUUGGAAAAUUGACUAUCCUUCCAUUGCUUGGAAGUGAACAUCAUAUACAAUCCUCCCCUCUUAUCAUUCAAGCAACCCAAAUACAAAUAUGAUGUUGCAAAGCGAGUGAUGUCAGGUCUUAUCAACUCAUCUCCUUCAGUGUAAUGAUGCAACAAAGUUAUAAGACCAGUCCUAGCAUAAACGUAAGUUGUGAUCUUUUUACCUGAAGCAAUAAUCUCCUUAUGCAUAGGUAUCUUGCUCUCAAAAUCCUCUAACAUUAGAUCAAUGCAAUGAACCGCACAAGGUGUCCAAUAAAGCUUAUUUCCUUUUAUCCAUCAAUAUUUGUCCAGCUAACUUGUAGUUUGCAACAUUGUUUGUUACAAUAUCAUCCCACUUCCUCAACAAUAUCAUCCAUCAUUUUGAAAACUUUAUCAAUUAUCUUUAAAAUGCUAGAUGCAUCAAUUGAUUUUAAAAAGAAAGUACCCAUAGGACUAUUGACUAAAAAGUUUAUGAUAGUCCUCCUAUUUCGGUCAGUCCAUCCAUCCGUCAUUAUUGUACAUCCAAACUUUUUCCACGCAGCUUUAUGCUCUACCAAUAUGCUAUUUAUAGACUCAACUUUUUUCUUUAAAUAUUUACCUCGAAUAUCAUGGUAAGAUGGUCGUUUAUAUCCUUUACCAUAUUGGGCAAUCAUUUCACAUAUCUUUAUAAAAUCUUCAUCUUUUACAACGUUAAAAGAGAUAUCAUUGUUGUAAAAAUAAGUUGCAACUUGUAAGUUAGUAUCCUCCUUCUCUUUUUUUUUUAAAAGCAUCGUUGAUAGUUGAUUAAGAAGUUAUCCCCCUCUUGAAAAUAUUUGCAAGACCAGAAGAUUCAACUUUUUUUCUUUUACAAUCUUCCACAUCAACCUCUAUUACAUUUUCACUUAGAGUUCUCUUUUUGAUGAGUUUGCUUUGCAAUCUAUGAACAAUGAUCCACAUUUGUUUGCAAACUUCAUCUGGAACAGACACACAAGGUUCAACAUUACUAUUUGUCCCUGCUAAAUGAUGCUUAAAUCGAAAAGCACCGCCGCUAUACUGAUUAUGACAAUAGUUGCACUUGAUCUUUCUUGAUCCAUCAUUUACGGGAGUGCCAUGUUCCCAUGUCACAUCUUGCCUUUGACCUGGAGCAUUUUUGGCAACUUUCUUAUUUCUCACAUUUCUAACACUUGGGUUUGUUGAAGGAGGAAGCGACGUACUACUACCACUAACCAUCUGUCCUAUUAAAAAGCUAAGACAGAUAACUUUUAUAUAAAAAAAUUAAAAAUACAAAUAUUUUUUGAAAUUUAAAACACAUAGUAAUAUAAAACAAACAAAAAAGAGUGUAAAAAAAUAUCUUACAAAUAUAUAUAAAUAAAUUAAAAAAGACAAAUAAUUUUUAUAAAAAGAGUAAAUAAAUAAACAAAUUUAAAAAGAUAAAUAACUUUUUUGUAACCUAUAUUUAUGUAUUUGUAAUAUAAUUUAACAAAUAAAACGCUGCAAUAUAAUGUUACUAACUACUACUUGUAACAUAAAAAAAAUUAUUUUUAUAUUAUAUUAUAUGUAUGAAUAAAAGUUGUAAUAAAAUCAAUUUAAAAAAUAACACGUGACCAAAAGAAAUAAAAUUGCAGUGAAUAGUGAUGGUUAUAUACUGUAAUAGUUAUGUUAGUGCAACAUCUCUAAGAAUAUUACAUCGGAAUUGAGGCGUGAAACUAUUAUAUUUUAUUAAUGUACAUUGUAUUAUAUAUGUUCCAUGGUUUAAGAAUUCAUCAACUAUUAUAUUAUAUUAUAUUGGAGUACAUUAUAUUAUAUAUAUUAUAUAUGUUCCAUGGUUUAAGAAUUCAUCAACUAUUAUAUUAUAUUAUAUUGGAGUACAUUAUAUUAUAUAUAUUAUAUUAACGUACAUCAUGAGAGCUAAUAAAAAAAUCUGACUUAUCCUAUCUUAGUCACGUCCUAUCAAUCCUUACACAUUGCCAAGCCAAACAAUAAAUAAUAUUAAAAUCUUAUGGUCACCUUCCAAAGACUUGGUCACCUUCCAUAGCCCUUAACCUUUUCUCAAGAAUCUGAAAAUUCUCUAUCAUUCCUCUUAUCUCUUCAUGCCUUUCAUCAUCUUCGUCCGAAAAAUCCGGAGCAUGUUGUUGAUCUUCAAAAUAAGGUUGCACGUGUGCAUGGACAAGAGGUGGUGCGAAGGUGUGGACCACUGGAUGAGUUUCAUUGAUAGUUGGUAGAGGAACCGUCUGCUGAGUGGAUUGUACAAAACCAGGGGCGCCUUCAACUGGAGGUGUGAAGCCGGGAGGUAAACCAUAGACUGGACAAGUGGUCGGCACUGUCCUUGCAGGUUGGGGUUCAAUCGUAGGACCAGUGAUUUCUGAAACGAUCGUCGAUUGGGUGUCCAACUUGGCCUUAAUGACUUGUAGUAUCUCCAUGACUUGACCCAUGUUUCCUCGUAGGUCUUCAAGUUUUGAGCUCACUCUCUCCAAUUCUUGUUCUUUAUCUGCCAUUCUUUGACGGGCGCUGGCUCUGGUGUUGUAGUGGUGUUGAGGACUCAGUGUGGAACUGAAGAGACACAAAAUUGAGUUUUUUUUGUUUGAAGAAUGACAUGAGUGUAUGUUAUGGGUGCAUUUUGUGCAAAGCUCUUAGUUAUCUUUAUUAUUUAUUCCAGCAAUGUUAGAAUGUAUUAAAUAAGAAUAACACGUAAUAAUUAAGGCCCAAAAUGACAACUUCCAUUAAUUAAAAUCAAAUUCGAAUACAAAAGGAUUUAACUUCAAGUACAAAUGAUUCAAAUACAAAAGAUUUAAACACCAACAAUUCAAAUUCAAGUACAAGUAAGCUCUGUCUCAGCUCUUCUGAUCGUAGCAAGAUCUGUUGGUGAGCUCUUUCAUCAUUUUCUUGCAAAACUUGACGAAAAUUGAAAACUUGAGGAGGCGUGUUUUCGGGACACAUACACCAAUCCGCUUCCUGGAGUUUUUCUGGGAGUUCCAACAUGUUGAGGUUAACAAAUCUAGCUAAGUUGCGGAACUUGCCAUUCCGUUCAAUAUAGAGCUCUUGGAGUUUCUUGAUGACCUGUUGAUCUUCAUCUAAGGUUGCUCUAGCCUCUCUAUACAACCUUUUCCAGUACACACAAUCAUUCUUUAGAAGCAAGUAGGCUACAUCACCUUCUUGGCUCUCCAAAACUGCAAACCUCCUGUUAGCUUCUUCCAACUGGUACUUGAGAUGGUGACAGUUUCUUUCAGCUUCUUCCUUUUGGAGUAUCUCGCGAGACAACUUUUCCUUGAAUUUCUUUAGAGUGUCCCUUAGUUCACGGAUUUGUGCCUCAAAGUCGAGCUUAAUUUCUUUCUUUUCCAUAAGAGAUCUAUCCAACAUUUUCCCUAACUCACAGAUUCUAUAUUCAGCUUUCUUGAGCUCUUCCUUCCCGGUUCGGAUCACUGAUGUGGAACCUAUAAGGAUAUGAUCAAGAUCGUCCUUCUGGUCUUCCAAUAGCCUGGCUCUCUUGUUACUAUCCUCAAGUUCCUGGGCUUUCCCCUUACGUUCCUCCUUCAAAAAUAUGAUCAAGAUCGUCCUUCUGGUCUUCCAAUAGCCUGGCUCUCUUGUUACUAUCCUCAAGUUCCUGGGCUUUCCCCUUACGUUCCUCCUUCAAAUUCUGAUUUUCCAAGAUAACUCGGUUCAUCUAAAUCCGUAAUUCAGUAUUCUCCAAUUCGAGCUCCUUAACCUUAGUAGUGAGUUUCUCCAUGUCCUCAGGUAGUAUAGGCUUGGGCUCAGGAGUUUCGGGAAAAGCUGAAGCCUUUAAGAUAAAUGGAAAAUGAAUUUCCCCAACUCUUUCUUUCACCCAUCGAGUGUAAGGUUCUUUGGCGAGAAGGUUUCUUUUUCCAAACUCUUUACCCUUCCUAACAACCCUUACCAAAGCCUUUCGUAUUGCUCUUACAUCAGGAUUACUUGCUUGGAUGUCAAAGAGCACAAAUGGUUGUAAGUCCUUUGCGUUAGGAGGACCAUCCAUGGAGUAGCCGUGUUGCAUUCGAGAUAACAUAGGGUUAUAAUUGAUGCAACCUUUAGUACCCAACAACGAUACAUUAGGAAAUUCCCCACAGCUGACUAUAAUGUUUGGGGUUUCCCACUCUCGGAUAUACCAUCGGAUGGAACUUGCAGUGAGAGAAGCUAAUCUUUGAGGAGAUUUAAGUUCCUUUGCCACAAAAGGGCCUUUUUCGGGCAUGUGUUGCAUGAACCAAGUAUAAAGCAAAUGAGCACAUCACAACAAAGUUCCACCCCUCUUUUCAUGUCGAGCGCGAAGGGCAUGGUAAAUGUCAGCUAAGAGAAAUGGUACGGGAUUGCCAGAGAGAAAGACUUCUAUGGCUACCUGAUCCACAAAUUUUUCAACGUUUGGGAAGAGCACAAUCCCAUGGAUCAACAAAGCCAACACAACAUAGAAUACAUUCCAAUUUCCCUUUUUCUUGAACUUCAGAGCUAAAUCUUCCAAAAAUGUCAUGGCAAAACCUUCGCAACCCCCUUUCUCAACCCAAUUGUCUAGAACAGUCGGGACAUUGAUACUUAGGGCUGAAGUUAUCUUCUUUGGGCCUGCUUCUUCUUCGAGCUUUGGAAAUGGAUUGAAAUCCUUCAAUUUGAGACCCACGAUUCUCUCAAUUUCUUCCAAAGUAGGAGCUAGUUGGAAAUCAACGAAGAUAGAAGCAGGCCCAAGAAGAUAGCUUCAGCCCUAAGUAUCAAUGUCCCGACUGUUCUAGACAAUUGGGUUGAGAAAGGGGGUUGCGAAGGUUUGGCCAUGAUAUUUUUGGAAGAUUUAGCUCUGAAGUUCAAGAAAAAGGGAAAUUGGAAUGCAUUAUAUUCUGUGUUGGCUUUGUUGAUCCAUGGGAUUGUGCUAUUCCCAAAUGUUGAAAAAUUUGUGGAUCAGGUAGCCAUAGAAGUCUUUCUCUCUAGCAAUCCCGUACCAUUUCUCUUAGCUGACAUUUACCAUGCCCUUCACGCUCGACAUGAAAAGAGGGGUGGAACUUUGUUGUGCUGUGCUCCUUUGCUUUAUACUUGGUUCAUGCAACACAUGCCUGAAAAAGGCCCUUUUGUGGUAAAGGAACUUAAAUCUCCUCAAAGAUUAGCUUCUAUCACUGCAAGUUCCAUCCGAUGGUAUAUCCGAGAGUGGGAAACCCCAGACAUUAUAGUCAGCUGUGGGGAAUUUCCUAAUGUACCGUUGUUGGGUACUAAAGGUUGCAUCAAUUAUAACCCUAUGUUAUCUCGAAUGCAACACGGCUACUCCAUGGAUGGUCCUCCUGACGCAAAGGACUUACAGCCAUUUGUGCUCUUUGACAUCCAAGCAAGUAAUCCUGAUGUAAGAGCGAUACGAAAGGCUUGGUUAAAGGUUGUUAGAAAGGGUAAAGAGUUUGGAAAAAGAAACCUUCUCGUCAAAGAACCUUACACUCGAUGGGUGAAAGAAAGAGUUGGGGAAAUCCAUUUUCCAUUUAUCUUAAAGGCUUCAGCUUUUCUCGAAACUCCUGAGCCCAAGCCUAUACUACCUGAGGACAUGGAGAAACUCACUACUAAGGUUAAGGAGCUCGAAUUGGAGAAUACUGAAUUACGGAUUCAGAUGAACCGAGUUAUCUUGGAAAAUCAGAAUUUGAAGGAGGAACGAAUCGUAAUCAUUAAUAGUAAGAUUUACGUAAAAAAUAUACUUAAAAAUUAUUUAUAUAAUUUAUAUUAAAUAGUUAUAAAGUUUGCAUAUUAAAUAACAAACCAUCAAAUUGAAAAAUCUUAACCAUAAAAUUAAAAUCUCAAAUCUUAACUUAAAAUAACAAACUCAUAAAAUAAAAUACUCAAAAAUCAUAGAGGUUAGUACAAAUCAACAAAGGGCCCGUAGUUUGGAUUUUUCCCUAUAAUGUUAACUCUUCAUCUUCAUUAAUCUCAUCAUCUCCUCACCAUAAUCAUCACCAUCAUCAUCUCCUUCAUCACCUAUCUUACAUUUUCUUCUUCUUGUCACUUUCUAUAGUUUCAAGGAUAUCAAUUCAUCUACAUGUCUAGUUGAUUUAGCACCAGUACUUUGCAUCAAAUCUUCAUCUAAAUCAGUCCACAUUUACAUGAUUACCACCUGUAUUUCUUCUCAGCAACAUACCACCAAUCGUCAUCAUCUGGCAAAUCAUCAAUUGUUAGAUCUCGCUUGUUCCUUUCAGCCUUAUUCUUGGUCAAUCUUGUAUUUACCAUACAUACAUAACAAAUCAUUCAUAGUCUUUUGUUUCAACCGAUUUCUUUUCUUUGUAUGAACCUAAAAAGGAAAAAUAUAAAUUAAAAUGCAUAACAUAUAGUAGCUAUGAAAAAUAUAUAUGAUACACUUAAAAAAAUAUACCAUUUCAAAAGCACUCCAAUUUUCUCUCAGCCAGAAGAACUGCAAUGUCUAACUCAAAACACGAAUAGCAAAGUUUUGCAACUCUGGGUGUGCAUCACCGUAAGAUUCCCACCAUUGAGUUGGUGUCUUGUUUUUAGUCCACAUUGAGCUAUUUCACUCCCAAAGAAUCAUUUUUCACUCUAAAAUCCUCAAGUUGACCAUCAAUUUUAUUCACCAUAAUCCAUGUCUCCAUCCACAUCUUUCUAAACAUGCAUACAUUCCUUGUUUCACUUCAUUAUCUACUUUAAAUUAGGUUUGUAAUGCAAAAUUGGAUUAAGAUAAUAGCCUGCAGCAUGCAAAGUCCUAAGCAAUUUGUGUCCCAUCUGAUAUCUAUAAUUUUCCAUAAUGGUUGGUAGCUUAAGAAAAGAAAGAUUAAGUUAGUUCAUAAAUAAAUACUAAUAUACUUUUUAUAUAAAAUAAAUUAAUCUAUGAUAUUUUAUAAAAUUAUACCUUUUUCUAUUAUAUUGUAGCUAGUUUGUAUUUCCUCUUUUGCUUGAUCCAUUUGCUCAUAGAAUAAGCCCAUCUGCCUUCUCAUCAGAAUCCACCAUACGCAAGACUUUAAGUAAUGAAAAGCACCCUUGAGGCAAUUAAUCAAAUUCUUCUAAACGUCAUGUUGUGACUAUAUUUCAACAAAUUUUCCAUCUUUUGUCUUGGAAAAUUGACUAUCCUUCCAUGCUUUGGAAGUGAACAUCAUUACAAUCCUCCCCUCUUAUCAUUCAAGCAACCCAAUACAAAUAUGAUGUUGCAAAAAGCGAGUGAUGUCAGGUCUUCAACUCAUCUCCUCAGUGUAAUGAUGCAACAAAGUUAUAAGACCAGUCCUAGCAUAAACGUAAGUUGUGAUCUUUUUACCUGAAGCAAUAAUCUCCUUAUGCAUAGGUAUCUUGCUCUCAAAAUCCUCUAACAUUAGAUCAAUGCAAUGAACCGCACAAGGUGUCCAAUAAAGCUUAUUUCCUUUUAUCCAUCAAUAUUUGUCCAGCUACUUUGUUAUUUGCAACAUUGUUGUACAAUAUCAUCCCACUUCCUCAAACAAUAUCAUCCAUCAUUUUGAAAACUUUAUCAUUAUCUUAAAAUGCUAGAUGCAUCAAUUGAUUUUAAAAGAAAGUACCCAUAGGACUAUUGACUAAAAGUUUAUGAUAGUCCUCCUAUUUCGGUCAGUCCAUCCUCCGUCAUUAUUGUACAUCCAAACUUUUUCCACGCAAGCUUAUGCUCUACCAAUAUGCUAUUUAGAGACCAACUUUUUUCUUUAAAUAUUUACCUCGAAUAUCAUGGUAAGAUGGUCGUUUAUAUCCUUUACCAUAUUGGGCAAUCAUUUCACAUAUCUUUAUAAAAUCUUCAUCUUUUACACCGUUAAAAGAGAUAUAUUUGUAAAAAUAAGUUGCAAACUUUAAGUUAGUAUCUCCCUUCUCUUUUUUAAAAGCAUCGUUGAUAGUUGAUUAAAGAAGUUAUCCCCCUCUGAAAUAUUUGCAAGACCAGAAGAUUCAACUUUUUUCUUUUACAAUCUUCACAUCAACCUCUAUUACAUUUUCACUUAGAUGUUCUCUUUUUGAUGAGUUUGCUUGCAAUCUAUGAACAAUGAUCCACAUUUGUUUGCAAACUUCAUCUGGAACAGACACACAAGGUUCAACAUUACUAUUUGUCCUGCUAAAUGAUGCUUAAAUCGAAAAGCACCGCCGUCUACUGAUUAUGACAAUAGUUGCACUUGAUCUUUCUUGAUCCAUCAUUUACUACGGGAGUGCCAUGUUCCCAUGUCACAUCUUGCCUUUGACCUGGAGCAUUUUUGGCAACUUCCUUAUUUCUCACUUUCUAACACUUGGGUUUGUUGAAGGAGGAGCGACGUACUACUACCACUAAACCAUCUGUCCUAUUAAAAAGCUAAAACAGAUAACUUUUAUAUAAAAAAAUUAAAAAUACAAAUAUUUUUUGAAAUUUAAACACAUAGUAAUAUAAAACAAACAAAAAAGAGUGUAAAAAAAUAUCUUACACAAAUAUAUAUAAAUAAAUUAAAAAAGACAAAUAAUUUUUUAUAAAAAGAGUAAUAAAUAAACAAAUUUAAAAGAUAAAUAACUUUUUUGUAACCUAUAUUUAUGUAUUUGUAAUAUAAUUAACAAAUAAAACGCUGCAAUAUAAUGUUACUAACUACUACUUGUAACAUAAAAAAAAUAUUUUAUAUUAAUUAUAUGUAUGAAAAAAGUGUAAUAAAAUCAAUUUAAAAAUAACACGUGAACCAAAGAAAAAUAAAAUUGCAGUGAAUAGUGAUGGUUAUAGACUGUAAUAGUUAUGUUAGUGCAACAUCUCUAAGAAAUUACAUCGGAAUUGAGGCGUGAAACUAUUAUAUGUUUUAUUAAUGUACAUUGUAUUAUAUAUGUUCCAUGGUUAAGAAUUCAUCAACUAUUAUAUUAUAUUAAUAUUGAGGUACAUUAUAUUAAUAUAAUAUAUAUGUUCCAUGGUUUAAGAAUUCAUCAACUAUAUACUUAAUAUAUAUUGGAGUACAUUAUAUUAUAUAUAUUAUAUUAACUACAUCAUGAGAGCUAAUAAAAAAAUCUGACUUAUCCUAUCUUUAGUCACGUCCUAUCAAUCCUUACACAUUGCCAGCCAAACAAUAAUAAUAUUAAAAUCUUAUGGUCACCUUCCAAAGACUGGUCACCUUCCAUAGCCCUUAACCUUUCUCAAGAAUCUGAAAUCCUCUAUUCAUUCCUCUUAUCUCUUCAUGCCUUUCAUCAUCUUCGUCCGAAAAAUCCGGAGCAUGUUGUUGAUCUUCAAAAUAAGGUUGCACGUGUGCAUGGACAAGAGGUGGUGCGAAGGUGUGGACCACUGGAUGAGUUUCAUUGAAGUUGGUAGAGGAACCGUCUGCGUGAUGGAUUGUACAAAACCAGGGCGCCUUCAACUGGAGGUGUGAAGCCGGGAGGUAAACACAGAACUGGACAAUGGUCGGCAACUGUCCUUCGCAGGUUGGGGUUCAACUCGUAGGACCAGUGAUUUCUGAAAAGAUCGUCGAUUGGGUGUCCAACUUGCUUAAUGACUGUAGUAUCUCCAUGACUUGACCCAUGUUCCUCGUAGGUCUUCAAGUUUGAGCUCACUCUCUCCAAUUCGUUCUUUUACUGCAUUCUUUGACGGGCGCUGGCUCUGGUGUUGUAGUGGUGUUGAGGACUCAGUGUGGAACUGAAGAGACACAAAAAUUAGUUUUUUUGUUUGAAGAUGACAUGAGUGUAUGUUAUGGGUGCAUUUUGUGCAAAGCUCUUAGUUAUCUUUAUUAUUUAUUCCAGCAAUGUUUAGAAUGUAUUAAAUAAGAAUAACACGUAAUAAUUAAGGCCAAAAUGACAACUUCCAUUAAUUAAAAUCAAAUUCGAAUACAAAAGGAUUUAACUUCAAGUACAAAUGAUUCAAAUACAAAAGAUUUAAACACCAACAAUUCAAAUUCAAGUACAAGUAAACUUAAAGCUCUGUCUCAGCUCUUUGAUCGUAGCAAGAUCUGUGGUGAGCUCUUUCAUCAUUUUCUUGCAAAACUUGACGAAAUUGAAACUUGAGGAGGCGUGUUUUCGGGACACAUACACCAAUCCGCUUCCUGGAGUUUUUCUGGGAGUUCCAACAUGUUGAGGUUAACAAAUCUAGCUAAGUUUCGGAACUGCCAUUCCGUUCAAUAUAGAGCUCUUGGAGUUUCUUGAGGACCUGUUGAUCUUCAUCUAGGUUGCUCUAGCCUCUCUAUCAACCUUUCCAGUCAACACAAUCAUUUCUUUAGAAGCAAGUAGGCUACAUCACCUUCUUGGCUCCCAAAACUGCAAACCUCCUGUUAGCUCUUCCAACUGGUACUUGAGAUGGUGACAGUUUCUUUCAGCUUCUUCUUUGGAGUAUCUCGCGAGACAACUUUUCCUUGAAUUUCUUUAGAGUGUCCCUUAGUUCACGGAUUUGUGCCUCAAAGUCGAGCUUAAUUUCUUUCUUUUUCCAUAAGAGAUCUAUCCAACAUUUUCCCUAACUCACAGAUUCUAUAUUCAGCUUUCUGAGCUCUUCCUUCCGGUUCGGAUCACUGAUGUGGAACCUAUAAGGAUAUGAUCAAGAUCGUCCUUCUGGUCUCCAAUGAGCCUGGCUCUCUGGUUACUAUCCUCAAAGUUCUGGGCUUUCCCCUACGUUCCUCCUCAAAUUCUGAUUUUCCAAGAUAACUCGGUCAUCUAAAUCCGUAAUUCAGUAUUCUCCAUUCGAGCUCCUUAACCUUAGUAUGAGUUUCUCCAUGUCCUCAGGUAGUAUAGGCUUGGGCUCAGGAGUUUGGGGAAAAAGCUGAGCCUUUAAGAAAUGGAAAAUGAAUUUCCCCAACUCUUUCUUUCACCCAUCGAGUGGUAAGGUUCUUUGGCGAGAAGGUUUCUUUUCCAAACUCUUUACCCUUCCUAACAACCCUUACCAAAGCCUUUCGUAUUGCUCUUACAUCAGGAUUAUUGCUUGGAUGUCAAAGAGCACAAAUGGUUGUAAGUCCUUUGCGUUAGGAGGACCAUCCAUGGAGUAGCCGUGUUGCAUUCGAGAUAACAUAGGGUUAUAAUUGAUGCAACCUUAAGUAUCCCAACCACGAUACAUUAGGAAAUUCCCCACAGCUGACUAUAAAUGUUUGGGGUUCCCACUCUCGGAUAUACCAUCGGAUGGACUUGCAGUGAGAGAAGCUAAUCUUUGAGGAGAUUUAAGUUCCUUUGCCACAAAAGGCCUUUUUCGGGCAUGUGUUUGCAUGAACCAAGUAUAAAGCAAAUGAGCACAUCACAACAAAGUUCCACCCCUCUUUUCAUGUCGAGCGCGAAGGGCAUGGUAAAUGUCAGCUAAGAGAAAUGUUACGGGAUUGCCAGAGAGAAAGACUUCUAUGGCUACCUGAUCCACAAAUUUUUCAACGUUUGGGAAAGAGCACAAUCCCAUGGAUCAACAAAGCCACACAACAUAGAAUACAUUCCAAUUUCCCUUUUUCUUGAACUCAGAGCUAACUUCCAAAAUGUCAUGGCAAAACCUUCGCAACCCCCUUCUCAACCCAAUUGUCAGAACAGUCGGGACAUGAUACUUAGGGCUGAAGUUAUCUCUUUGGGCCGCUUCUUCUUCGAGCUUUGGAAAUGGAUUGAAAUCCUUCAAUUUGAGACCCACGAUUCUCUCAAUUUCUUCCAAAGUAGGAGCUAGUUGGAAAUCAACGAAGAUAGAAGCAGGCCCAAAGAAGAUAGCUUCACCCUAAGUAUCAUGUCCCGACUGUUCUAGACAAUUGGGUUGAGAAAGGGGGUUUCGAAGGUUUGGCCAUGAUAUUUUUGGAAGAUUUAGCUCUGAAGUCAAGAAAAAGGAAAUUGGAAUCAUUAUAUUCUGUGUUGGCUUUGUUGAUCCAUGGGAUUGUGCUAUUCCCAAAUGUUGAAAAAUUUGUGGAUCAGGUAGCCAUAGAAGUCUUUCUCUCUAGCAAUCCCGUACCAUUUCUCUUACUGACAUUUACCAUGCCCUUCACGCUCGACAUGAAAAGAGGGGUGGAAUUGUUGUGCUGUGCUCCUUUGCUUAUCUUGGUUCAUGCAACACAUGCCUGAAAAAAGGCCCUUUUGUGGUAAAGAACUUAAAUCUCCUCAAAGAUUAGCUUCUAUCACUGCAAGUUCCAUCCGAUGGUAUAUCCGAGAGUGGGAAACCCCAGACAUUAUAGUCAGCUGUGGGGAAUUUCCUAAUGUACCGUUUGUGGGUACUAAAGUUGGCAUCAAUUAUAAACCCUAUGUUAUCUCGAAUGCAACACGGCUAAUCCAUGGAUGGUCCUCCUGACGCCAAAGGACUUACAGCCAUUUUUGUGCUCUUUGACAUCCAAGCAAGUAAUCCUGAGUAAGAGCGAUAGAAAGGCUUGGUUAAAGGUUGUUAGAAAGGGUAAAGAGUUUGGAAAAAGAAACCUUCUCGUAAAGAACCUAACACUCGAUGGGUGAAGAAAAGAGUUGGGGAUCCAUUUCCAUUUAUCUUAAAGGCUUCAGCUUUUCUCGAAACUCCUGAGCCCAAGCUAUACUACCUGAGGACAUGGAGAAACUCACUACUAAGGUUAAGGAGCUCGAAUUGGAGAAUACUGAAUUACGGAUUCAGAUGAACCGAGUUAUCUUGGAAAAUCAGAAUUUGAGGAGGAACGUAAGGGGAAAGCCCCAGGAACUUGAGGAUAGUAACAAGAGAGCCAGGUUAUUGGAAGACCAGAAGGAAGAUCUUGAUCAUAUCCUUAUAGGUUCCACAUCAGUGAUCCGAACAGGAAGGAAGAGCUCAAGAAAGCUGAAUAUAGAAUCUGUGAGUUAGGGAAAAUGUUGGAUAGAUCUCUUAUGGAAAAGAAAGAAAUAAAGCACUCGACUUUGAGGCACAAAUCCAUGAACUACGGACACUCUGAAGAAAUGCAAAGGAAAAGUUGUCUCGCAGAAUAUACUCCAAAAGGAAGAAGCUGAAAGAAACUGUCACCAUCUCAAGUACCAGUUGGAAAGAAGCUAAUAGGAGGUUUGGCAUUUGGAGAGCCAAGAAGGUGAUGCAGCUACUUGCUCCUAAAGAAUGAUUGUGUGUACUGGAAAGGUUGUAUAGAGAGGCUAGAGAAACCUUAAAUGAAGAUCACGGUAUCAAGAAACCUCCAAGAGCUCCUAUGUUGAGAUGGAAUGGAAGUUCCGAACUUAGCUAGAUUUUAACUCUAACAUGUUGGAACUCCCAGAAAAACUCCAGGAAGCGGAUUGGUGUUUGUGCCCGAAAACACGCCUCCUCAAGUUUUCAAUUUCGUCAAGUUUUGCAAGAAAAUGAUGAAGGAGCUCACCACAGAUCUUUGUGCUAUCGAUCAUAAGAGCUGAAGACAGAGUUAAGUUUUCUUGUACUUGAAUUUGAAUUGUUGGUGUUUAAAUCUUUUUGUANUUGUUGGUGUUUAAAUCUUUUGUAUUUGAAUCAUUUGUACUUGAAGUUAAAUCCUUUUGUAUUCGAAUUUGAUUUUAAUUAAUGGAAGUUGUCAUUUUGGGCCUCAAUUAUUACAUGUUAUUCUUAUUUAAUACAUUCUAACAUUGCUGGAAUAAAUAAUAAAGAUAACUAAGAGCUUUGCACAAAAUGCACCCAUAACAUACACUCAUGUCAUUCUUCAAACAAAAAAAAAACUCAUUUUUGUGUCUUCUUCAGUUCCACACUGAGUCCUCAACACCACUACAACACCAGAGCCAGCGCCCGUCAAAGAAUGGCAGAUCAAGAACAAGAAUUGGAGAGAGUAAGCUCAGAACUUGAAGACCUACGAGGAAACAUGGGUCCAGUCAUGGAGAUACUACAAGUUAUUAAGGCCAAGUUGGACACCCAAACGACGGUCGUUUCAGAAAUCGCUGGUCCUACGAUUGAACCCCAACCUGUAAGGACAGUGCCGACCACUUGUCCAGUCUAUGGUUUAUCUCCCGACUUCACACCUCCAGUUGAAGGCGCCCCUGGUUUUGUACAAUCCACUCAGCAAACGGUUCCUCUACCAACUAUCAAUGAAACUCAUCCAGUGGUCCACACCUUCGCACCACCUCUUGUCCAUGCACACGUGCAACCUUAUUUUGAAGAUCAACAACAUGCUCCGGAUUUUUCGGACGAAGAUGAUGAAAGGCAUGAAGACAUAAGAGGAAUGAAAGCGAAUUUCCAAAUUCUUGAGAAAGGGUUAAGGGCUAUGGAAGGUGACCAUAAGAUUUUCUUUAUACUAUGCUAGCAUCCUGGAAAAGUCUUAAGAUUUAGCUAGGGAUGUCAUUCCGUUACUAACAUAUCUCGACUGAGAUGUCCAAGAUAUUGUUCUGACGACUCCCAAAAAGUCUUGAUUGUUCCAUUUUACUGUAGGAUAAUGUCUUUCACCAUUUCUCCCUUGCAUUUCCUAUGACAAAAUUUGGGUCUUUUCGUAUUUAAUUACCUUCCACUACGAAUGUAUGAAGACUGCUGUCAUUCUUACCUUCUGGUUCAAGUUAAUUAAAUAUGGGCAGUUGUCAUAUCCCAAUUUUGUUCGGCCAUAUUUAAAUUUUCGUAAAUCUGAUUUUAUUUUUAAUUUACAUCAUACGCACAGCAUGACAUGCAUUUCAUCAUGAAUAAAACCUAAAAUAUCAGUCAAAAUAAAUUUAUUGAAAAUACAGACAAAUUGGUUAAAUCAUUUCUCAAGAACAUGCAAAAUCAACGGGUAAAAAGUUUCAAAAUUAAAAUUGCAGACGCCAGUAUUAUUAAUCUACGGUUCACGUAGUUAAACCUGGUGUGCUCGUUGUAUUUUUCAGUGGCUGUUUUAGUUGCGUUUUGACCCGCCUGAGCCUUUUAACCGGUGCAAAUUUAUUUCAAAAUUUAAAGAAAUGCUGUAUUUUUUUUAUAAGUAUAUUUUGUGCCGAUCAUUUUAGUACAUCCGAUUUAAUUUUUCGAGCAAAUUUUUGCCCGACAAAACAAGUAACAAUCAGUAAAAUUAAAAUAAGAAAGCGGUUUUAUUUCGAUUUGAAUAAAUAGGAAUUUUCACAUUUUUAUUUCACUUUUAUCAUAUUUAUUUAGGAAGUCGUGAAUUUUUAUUUGGAUUGAUUGAUUUAAUCCCCUUCAAACCAAUUAAAUCAUUUAAAGAAACAUUCAAUGUCAUGUGUUAUUGUUGUUUCGAUGUUAUGAUGUUUGUGCUACCAUUACAACUCAGUUAGACGUGAAUCACAUUUUGGUUAUGGGAAGCAUUGAAACUCUUGUUGGCGUUGUCGGAAAAGUGAGGCUUGUAGGUCGAUUCUCCGUAGCAGAAUGAUGAGGUAAUUUUACAAUUGUUAUUGAUAAAUUAUUGGAAAUUCUAUGAAACAAUCACGAUCUGUGGAAUGGUUGGUUAUUUUUUCCAUUUCCUUUUUCUCAUCUUUGUCUGUAUGAUUGUUUAUUUGUUCUCAUCUCAAUCGUGUUCAUGCUUUGUUUGUGAUUAACAAUUUUUAUUUUUGUAUGUUGUUGAUAUUGCAUUGUCUUCUUCAAGUCGGUUUUGUCAUACUGUUGUUGAGUGUACUGGUUUUGGUAUUAUUAUGUUGAAGCUUGUAAAUAUUUAUUUACUUUUAUUGAUUGUGAGAAAUGAGUUUGUAUGAUUUUUGUGGAGAGAGGUUAUAGGAAGUUGUUGAAAGAAGCAAGGCGUUGUGUGUGAAUUCCACUUAAAAAGCCAAAGGUCCAUUUGUUUUUUUUUUCAUUUCCUGCGCUACGUUGCUGUAGAAAGAUUGCUUUCAAAUUUUUCUGCACCCUUUUUAUACUUUGUAUUAUUAAUUUAAAAAAUGUAAUAAGAUUAUAUUUACUUAUUAUUAGAAAUUCAUAUUUGGGAUUUUAG
RNAcentral lists this long non-coding RNA (18980 nucleotides) under Lathyrus oleraceus (garden pea). RNAcentral's name for it is "Pisum sativum (pea) long non-coding RNA (PSAT_LNC031084)". The record is from RNAcentral. Lineage: Eukaryota; Viridiplantae; Streptophyta; Magnoliopsida; Fabales; Fabaceae.